This 307-nucleotide long non-coding RNA is filed under the name Androctonus crassicauda. Lineage: Eukaryota; Metazoa; Arthropoda; Arachnida; Scorpiones; Buthidae. The record is from RNAcentral.
CGAUCUUGUCGAUGAGGCGUAGCUCCUACAAACUUGCAUAGGAACUGGGCAUAGCAACUCCUGACAUUUAUUAGUGGUUGUAUGCCAGUUUCUGUCUUGCAGUUCAUAUGUUUUAAACAAAAAAUGCAUCAGGUUAUUUAUUGCAUUGGUACAGUCUUCGAUGCUGAGCGUUAGUCAUAGUCAAUCUCUCAAUGCGUGGCAAGGACUGUGAUCGUUACGUUUCGGUAAAUUUAAGAAAUGAAUAUUUUUCAAAGUUACAUUGUGGUAUAAACCGUGACAUAUGCAUUUUGAAAACGUUUGAUUUCUG